This 400-nucleotide ribosomal RNA is filed under the name uncultured bacterium. Its description in RNAcentral is "bacterial SSU rRNA". It matches the Rfam family "Bacterial small subunit ribosomal RNA", at positions 356 to 773 of the family's 1533-position model. The record is from RNAcentral.
GGGGAAUAUUGGACAAUGGGGGCAACCCUGAUCCAGCAAUGCCGCGUGUGUGAAGAAGGUCUUCGGAUCGUAAAGCACUUUCGACAGGGACGAUGAUGACGGUACCUGUAGAAGAAGCCCCGGCUAACUUCGUGCCAGCAGCCGCGGUAAUACGAAGGGGGCUAGCGUUGCUCGGAAUUACUGGGCGUAAAGGGCGCGUAGGCGGCUUGGCCAGUCAGGCGUGAAAUUCCUGGGCUUAACCUGGGGACUGCGCUUGAUACUGCCAGGCUUGAGGCCGAGAGAGGGUGGUGGAAUUCCCAGUGUAGAGGUGAAAUUCGUAGAUAUUGGGAAGAACACCGGUGGCGAAGGCGACCACCUGGCUCGGUACUGACGCUGAGGCGCGACAGCGUGGGGAGCAAAC